UGGGGAAUAUUGGACAAUGGGCGCAAGCCUGAUCCAGCCAUGCCGCGUGAGUGAUGAAGGCCCUAGGGUUGUAAAGCUCUUUCAGCGAGGAGGAUAAUGACGUUACUCGCAGAAGAAGCCCCGGCUAACUUCGUGCCAGCAGCCGCGGUAAUACGAAGGGGGCUAGCGUUGUUCGGAAUCACUGGGCGUAAAGCGCACGUAGGCGGACUUUUAAGUCAGGGGUGAAAUCCCGGGGCUCAACCUCGGAACUGCCUUUGAUACUGGAAGUCUGGAGUCCGAGAGAGGUGAGUGGAACUCCGAGUGUAGAGGUGAAAUUCGUAGAUAUUCGGAAGAACACCAGUGGCGAAGGCGGCUCACUGGCUCGGUACUGACGCUGAGGUGCGAAAAGCGUGGGGAGCAAAACAGGAUUAGAUACCCUGGUAGUCCACGCCGUAAACGAUGGAAGCUAGCCGUCAGGGUGCAUGCAUCUUGGUGGCGCAGUUAACGCAUUAAGCUUCCCGCCUGGGGAGUACGGCCGCAAGAUUAAAACUCAAAUGAAUUGACGGGGUCAUAGCUGUUUCCU
RNAcentral lists this ribosomal RNA (562 nucleotides) under uncultured bacterium. Its description in RNAcentral is "partial 16S ribosomal RNA". It matches the Rfam family "Bacterial small subunit ribosomal RNA", at positions 355 to 1375 of the family's 1533-position model. The record is from RNAcentral.